CAGUCGCCGCGGGAAUACGUAGGGUGCGAGCGUUAAUCGGAAUUACUGGGCGUAAAGCGUGCGCAGGCGGUUGUGUAAGACAGGUGUGAAAUCCCCGGGCUUAACCUGGGAACUGCGCUUGUGACUGCACAGCUAGAGUAUGGCAGAGGGGGGCGGAAUUCCACGUGUAGCAGUGAGAUGCGUAGAGAUGUGGAGGAACACCGAUGGCGAAGGCAGCCCCCUGGGCCAAUACUGACACUCAUGCACGAAAGCGUGGGGAGCAAACAGGAUUAGAUACCCGGGUAGUCCCUGUCUCUUAUAA
Molecule: ribosomal RNA, 301 nt
Filed under: uncultured bacterium
Lineage: Bacteria
Description: partial 16S ribosomal RNA
Rfam family: Bacterial small subunit ribosomal RNA
Source: RNAcentral